GAUGAACGCUAGCUACAGGCUUAACACAUGCAAGUCGAGGGGCAGCAUUUCAGUUUGCUUGCAAACUGGAGAUGGCGACCGGCGCACGGGUGAGUAACACGUAUCCAACCUGCCGAUAACUCGGGGAUAGCCUUUCGAAAGAAAGAUUAAUACCCGAUGGUAUAAUCAGACCGCAUGGUCUUGUUAUUAAAGAAUUUCGGUUAUCGAUGGGGAUGCGUUCCAUUAGGCAGUUGGUGAGGUAACGGCUCACCAAACCUUCGAUGGAUAGGGGUUCUGAGAGGAAGGUCCCCCACAUUGGAACUGAGACACGGUCCAAACUCCUACGGGAGGCAGCAGUGAGGAAUAUUGGUCAAUGGGCGCAGGCCUGAACCAGCCAAGUAGCGUGAAGGAUGACUGCCCUAUGGGUUGUAAACUUCUUUUAUAUGGGAAUAAAGUUUUCCACGUGUGGAAUUUUGUAUGUACCAUAUGAAUAAGGAUCGGCUAACUCCGUGCCAGCAGCCGCGGUAAUACGGAGGAUCCGAGCGUUAUCCGGAUUUAUUGGGUUUAAAGGGAGCGUAGGUGGACAGUUAAGUCAGUUGUGAAAGUUUGCGGCUCAACCGUAAAAUUGCAGUUGAUACUGGCUGUCUUGAGUACAGUAGAGGUGGGCGGAAUUCGUGGUGUAGCGGUGAAAUGCUUAGAAAUCACGAAGAACUCCGAUUGCGAAGGCAGCUCACUGGACUGCAACUGACACUGAUGCUCGAAAGUGUGGGUAUCAAACAGGAUUAGAUACCCUGGUAGUCCACACAGUAAACGAUGAAUACUCGCUGUUUGCGAUAUACAGUAAGCGGCCAAGCGAAAGCAUUAAGUAUUCCACCUGGGGAGUACGCCGGCAACGGUGAAACUCAAAGGAAUUGACGGGGGCCCGCACAAGCGGAGGAACAUGUGGUUUAAUUCGAUGAUACGCGAGGAACCUUACCCGGGCUUAAAUUGCAUUUGAAUAUAUUGGAAACAGUAUAGCCGUAAGGCAAAUGUGAAGGUGCUGCAUGGUUGUCGUCAGCUCGUGCCGUGAGGUGUCGGCUUAAGUGCCAUAACGAGCGCAACCCUUAUCUUUAGUUACUAACAGGUCAUGCUGAGGACUCUAGAGAGACUGCCGUCGUAAGAUGUGAGGAAGGUGGGGAUGACGUCAAAUCAGCACGGCCCUUACGUCCGGGGCUACACACGUGUUACAAUGGGGGGUACAGAAGGCAGCUACCUGGUGACAGGAUGCUAAUCCCAAAAGCCUCUCUCAGUUCGGGUCGAAGUCUGCAACCCGACUUCGUGAAGCUGGAUUCGCUAGUAAUCGCGCAUCAGCCAUGGCGCGGUGAAUACGUUCCCGGGCCU
RNAcentral lists this ribosomal RNA (1359 nucleotides) under uncultured bacterium. Its description in RNAcentral is "bacterial SSU rRNA". It matches the Rfam family "Bacterial small subunit ribosomal RNA", at positions 28 to 1381 of the family's 1533-position model. The record is from RNAcentral.